This is a long non-coding RNA of Anopheles stephensi (Asian malaria mosquito), 342 nucleotides long. RefSeq lists it as uncharacterized. NCBI's taxonomy places the organism in Eukaryota, Metazoa, Arthropoda, Insecta, Diptera, Culicidae. The transcript has 3 exons. The record is from RefSeq and is a predicted model, not a curated record.
CAGAGUGUUGCUGAUUAUUUGCCUCGGCCCGUGUCGUCGUAACACCGUGACGCACGAGAAGUGUUUCUUAGCUUUGGAGAACCAAGAACUAAUGGGUCUGGAAGUUUGGAGCAGAGUUUUUAAUUGAUGACCUUGACUUCCCCAAAAACAAGGGGAGAGAGAAUUCGGUGCGCUGUUCUGUUCGCCGUUGGACAAUGAUUCUAAUAUCGAUCCAAGGAGCAUUGGGAUCCAGGAUACGCGAAUCACCUCCAGCCAAACCGCUCCAACACAUACAACCACAGCCCGUACUACAGACCUACAGACUUACAUAAUCGGCACACUAUUUUCCCCGAUUUGGACAGC